Molecule: ribosomal RNA, 407 nt
Filed under: uncultured bacterium
Lineage: Bacteria
Description: partial 16S ribosomal RNA
Rfam family: Bacterial small subunit ribosomal RNA
Source: RNAcentral
UGGGGAAUAUUGCACAAUGGGCGGAAGCCUGAUGCAGCAACGCCGCGUGCGGGAUGACGGCCUUCGGGUUGUAAACCGCUUUCGCCUGUGACGAAGCGUGAGUGACGGUAAUGGGUAAAGAAGCACCGGCUAACUACGUGCCAGCAGCCGCGGUGAUACGUAGGGUGCGAGCGUUGUCCGGAUUUAUUGGGCGUAAAGGGCUCGUAGGUGGUUGAUCGCGUCGGAAGUGUAAUCUUGGGGCUUAACCCUGAGCGUGCUUUCGAUACGGGUUGACUUGAGGAAGGUAGGGUAGAAUGGAAUUCCUGGUGGAGCGGUGGAAUGCGCAGAUAUCAGGAGGAACACCAGUGGCGAAGGCGGUUCUCUGGGCCUUUCCUGACGCUGAGGAGCGAAAGCGUGGGGAGCGAACA